AGUGAACGCUGGCGGUAGGCCUAACACAUGCAAGUCGAGCGGCCGCACAGUAAGAGCUUGCUCUUACGGGUGGCGAGUGGCGGGCGGGUGAGGCAUACAUCGCCAUCUACUUUUUCUUGGGGGAUUACGUAGAGACACUUCUGCUAAUACCGCAUACGUCCUACGGCUUGAUGCAGGAGAACUUCGCACCUUUCCUGACUGGUUGAGACGAUGCCGCAUUAGCUAGUUGGCUGGGUAAAGGCCCACCAAGGCAACGAUGCGUAGCUGGUCUGAGAGGAUGAUCGGCCACACUGGAACUGAGACACGGUCCAGACUCCUACGGGAGGCAGCAGUGGGGAAUAUUCGGCAAUGGGCGCAAGCCUGACGGAGCCACACCGCGUGGGUGAAGAAGGUCUUCGGGUUGUAAAGCUCUGUUAUUGGGAAAGAAAAGCAGCGGGUGAAAAUCCCGAUGUUUUGACGGUACCCAAACAGAAAGCACCGGCUAACUACGUG
This 492-nucleotide ribosomal RNA is filed under the name uncultured bacterium. RNAcentral describes it as "partial 16S ribosomal RNA". It matches the Rfam family "Bacterial small subunit ribosomal RNA", at positions 29 to 507 of the family's 1533-position model. The record is from RNAcentral.